This 408-nucleotide ribosomal RNA is filed under the name uncultured bacterium. Its description in RNAcentral is "partial 16S ribosomal RNA". It matches the Rfam family "Bacterial small subunit ribosomal RNA", at positions 28 to 526 of the family's 1533-position model. The record is from RNAcentral.
GACGAACGCUGGCGGCGCGCCUAACACAUGCAAGUCGAGCGAAGCGGCGAACGGGUGAGUAACGCGUGAGGAACCUGCCUCUUACAACGGGAUAGCCUCGGGAAACCGGGAUUAAUACCGUAUAGUAAGAGAUGGCCUCGCGUCUGAUUAGCUUGUUGGCGGGGUAACGGCCCACCAAGGCGACGAUCAGUAACCGGCCUGAGAGGGUGAACGGUCACGUUGGAACUGGGAAACGGUACAGAAUCCUACGGGAGGCAGCAGUGGGGAAUCGUGCACAAGGGCGGCAACCAUGAUGCAGUGACGCCGCGUGAGCUAUGAAGGGUUUCGAAUCGUAAAGCUCUGUCCUAUGGGAAGCGGUACCAUGGGAGGAAGCCCCGGCUAACUACGUGCCAGCAGCCGCGGUAAUAC